Long non-coding RNA from Chiroxiphia lanceolata (lance-tailed manakin), 3136 nucleotides. RefSeq lists it as uncharacterized. The record is from RefSeq and is a predicted model, not a curated record. NCBI's taxonomy places the organism in Eukaryota, Metazoa, Chordata, Aves, Passeriformes, Pipridae. The transcript is spliced from 5 exons.
CUCCCAGCAGCCUUUGCGCGGGGGCAGCACAACAUGGCGGCGCCCUUUGUCCUGUUUGGAGAGCGGGAGGCGGGUGGAAAAGGAUCCCCAGGGACUGCGGCUUUCCUGCGCCGCUUGCGGUGCGGACUCUCGAGAGGGCUCAGUCUUGAGUUUCCGGGCGCUUCCUGUUAAAAUACUGUGAAAAUAACUUCGUACUUUAAGGGGAAAGAAGCUGUUUGUGGGAGUUCAGAUGUCCGUGAUAAACGCUCUAUGCUUUUUCAGUCAGUAAGCUCUUAAAAUAUCUUUCAAUAAUCCUCCAAAACCUUACUGAGACAGCAGCAUCUGUGCUAAAAGCAGUCGAGGUUCAAGAAAAGGCUGGGACAAAACGGGAUAAAUCAGCAUCGCUUCCAAGCGCUUUCCCGGCUUUCCCAUGAAGCCAAAGGAGCCUUGGAAGUAGUGCCACUGUCCCUGGUCAUUCUUGUGUUUGCAGGGAGUAAAAAUGGCCUUGGGGAUUUGCUUCUGGGAACAGAGAUCCAUUUCCUGAUAGUAGUCCUGGAAAUAGAACUGAGUCUCUCUGAGAACUGACGAUGGUACAGAAGGAGUGCUGGGAAGGGAGAGUCCACAGUGUGGUGAGUGUCCUGAUGUCCCUGCUGUAAUGCUGUGCUGUCAUCAAGUCCCCUCAUUCUGAUGUAAACUGUCUUUGAAUGUGCUCAAAGUCCAAACUGAAGUACAAAAUGCCUAUGGGAAGCUUCAUGUUCCCAAGGGAAUGCUUUAGGGAUGUGUAGCUUCUGAACUACAGAAAUAAUUCAGGUUCCCACAGAAACCUUGGGCCGUGGUUGGGGCAAGAGUGACAGAAAAGUAGCAUCUUCAGGGCCAUCUUAAGAGUUGUUUUCCCUCGAGAUCACAAUGAAAUGCUGGGAAAUCAUGGCCCUCUGGGAAACCUCUGAGCAGGGUAAGUGGUGUAAGUGUGGUUUUCCUACUCUCUGCACUCUCAGUGAUGCCCUGAAGUGCUCUGGCUCAUGGAAUAUGAUCUGUGUGUAACAGCUUCCGUGCCUAUCUGUGCAGGUGGGUCAGUCACUAAGUGUCCCAUGGGAUCCCUGAGGCUGGAAAAGCCCUUUGAGACCAUGGGGUCCAAGUGGUGCCCCAGCACUGCCAAGGCCACCCCCAGCCCAUGUCCCCAAGGGCCACAUGAAGAGCCAUCCCCUGAGGGACAGGAACUGGGGUGAGGGCUGCAGGCACUGGCAGUGAGGCUGGGGGUUCCCUGGGAGCCUCCAACACACCUUCCCUUCUCCCUGGCCUUCCCAGGAAGGAUGACUGGUCUGGAGAGCACAGUGUGCAGAGGCAGUCCAAAGCCACACUCAGGACAUUUCCCUGCAGUUCAGGGAACCUCUGAUUGCAGCACCUUGAAGUCUUGUGUGCUCAGCAGCUUUUCCUUUGGAGUUUUUAUGCCCUAGGAAACAGAUUUGAGGACCUCCCAGUGAAUUCAGUGAAUUGUCCCAAUCAGAGAGCUUUUUGCUGACCUAAAUUGAGCUUUUAAGCCCCAGACCUCCCAGAUUUGCAGUGUUUUACCAUAACAGUGAGCCAGGAUGGAUUCUCCUGUUCAGUGGACUGACUGAGGCUGUGGAUUGCAAUGCAGAGCAUCUGCAUGCUCCUGGUGCUUGGGGCUGUGGUGUUUGGAGUGCAGGAAACAUCCCUGGGACCCUGACUGUCUGACCUGGGUGUGGAUGUGCAUUUCCAGGACUAACUCAGUCUGGGUAUCCCACCCACCCAAAGCUUCUGAUGAAGCUCCAGGACCAGCAAGUCCCUGAAACUUGAGGAAGAGAAGAAAUGAGUUAAAGUAGAAAGAUCAGAUGAUGGAAUUGCCAGUCUGGAUGUGUGCUGAUCUCUGGUGGCAGGGUACUCUCAGGCCCUAAUGGCUGCACAUUCUUGUUCUUUUCACUGGGAAAUUGGGAGUAAUUAUUAAUUAAUUAUUCAGAAAUGUUUUCUGAAACUUUUCCCUUUUUUUCUGUCUUUCGCUGUAGAUUUUCUUUUGCUGCCUUUGAAUUUACAGCUUCCUUCUAGCUCCCAGGUGGGAACACCUGGGUUGACUCAGGGAGGACAGGGGUGAAAUUUUUAGCCGAAAACUUGGGGUAAUUUAGAGAUGGCAGAGCAACUGGUUUUGUAGGAAAAUGUGUUUAACCACAUUGAUCCUAGUUGUGUUUGCACAAAUUGGGGCCAGAGGUAAAACUUAAUCCAAAGCAAACCCUGCUCAACCUGUAAAUCCCAGGAUAAGUUCUACAAGCUGCAAAUUGAGGGACUAAAAAUACAUUAAAAUGGAACCAAGAGCAUUAAUAAGGUUCCAGGGAAUCCCAGUAUUGUUGUUGUGGAAUUUUUAACUGAUUUUUAAUCUUCUUAUGACAACAGUGAGUUUCUUCCUUUGGAUUACUCAUGCUGUAGGUUUUGAGGUUUAUUUGGAUUUUGAAUCCCUCACUGCGGCCCUGACACUGAUCAGGAGCUGGCAGGAAAAACACAAUCAGAGCUCCUGGCAGGCGCAGGGUGUUUUCCCCCAGAGCGGAUCCAACUGCUGCCCACCAGCCUGGCCACCAGCCUGGGAUUUGCUUUUGGCUCUUGGCUUCUUCAAUGGUGAAUUCCUGCUGGAACAGCCUCACAGUGCCUUAUGGAGCCCAGAUAUUCCCCUGUAGAGCUGCCGCUUUAACGCCAGGUUUGUCAGGAACCAGCCAACGUUCCAGGGAAGCUCAGUGGGAUCAGGACAGGUUGAUAUUCCAUAGAAUUUGCUGUUUAUAACCCUACUUCCCCAGCCCUGCUGAUGUCCCUGCGGGGGACUUGACUGAGUUCCCUGGAAUUCAGCUGAUUUUCACCCCCUGGGGUCAGGCUCCAGGGGAUGUGUUCACCCAGGAGAAGGUGGUGGUGGGACGCGCUCCAGGCACGUGGUGAGGCAGCACCUGAGCACAGGCGAGGACGUCUCUCCGUGCAGGAAGCCGCUGUCACUUCAGAGCCUCAGGAGUGGCCUCUGGAAGUUCUUUUCCCUGAGGAAAGGGAUGCACAUCCCUGCCUUCAGGGCACCCCGGGUCUGACCCACCUGUUAAAGCUUUCCAUGGGUUCUGCAGUUCCAGCUGUGUCUGUCCGGGGUGAAGCAUCUCAGGGUGCCAGGGGGGGG